This 459-nucleotide ribosomal RNA is filed under the name uncultured bacterium. RNAcentral describes it as "partial 16S ribosomal RNA". It matches the Rfam family "Bacterial small subunit ribosomal RNA", at positions 338 to 795 of the family's 1533-position model. The record is from RNAcentral.
CCUACGGGGGGCUGCAGUGAGGAAUAUUGGUCAAUGGCCGAGAGGCUGACCCAGCCAAGUCGCGUGAGGGAUGACGGCCCUACGGGUUGUAAACCUCUUUUGUCGGGGAGAAAAGAGAGUCACGUGUGGAUCAUUGAGCGUACCCGAAGUAAAAGCAUCGGCUAACUCCGAGCCAGCAGCCGCGGUAAUACGGGGGAUGCGAGCGUUAUACGGAUUUAUUGGGUUUAAAGGGUGCGCAGGCGGAGGUGCAAGUCAGUGGUCAAAUUGCGGGGCUCAACCCCGUACUGCCGUUGAAACUGCAUCCCUUGAGUGCGCGAGAAGUAUGCGGAAUGCGUGGUGUAGCGGUGAAAUGCAUAGAUAUCACGCAGAACUCCGAUUGCGAAGGCAGCAUACCGGCGCGCAACUGACGCUCAUGCACGAAAGCGUGGGUAUCGAACAGGAUUAGAUACCCUGGUAGUC